This is a small RNA of Oribacterium sinus F0268, 119 nucleotides long. It matches the Rfam family "DUF3800-I RNA". Rfam says of the family: Actinobacteria, Firmicutes, Fusobacteria, Proteobacteria (1 example), Tenericutes (2 examples). Terminator (Clostridia) NCBI's taxonomy places the organism in Bacteria, Bacillati, Bacillota, Clostridia, Lachnospirales, Lachnospiraceae. The record is from Rfam.
UAUAGGUGCAGGUAGAAAUACGCUGUUUACUCAUGUAAUCGAAUUAACGUUUAAGCGAACUGUAAGCUCGCCGACCAUGAGGAAGCCACCCACACCUUUGGGUGGCUUUUAUUUUAUCU